RNAcentral lists this ribosomal RNA (638 nucleotides) under uncultured Bacteroidota bacterium. RNAcentral describes it as "bacterial SSU rRNA". It matches the Rfam family "Bacterial small subunit ribosomal RNA", at positions 45 to 679 of the family's 1533-position model. Lineage: Bacteria; Pseudomonadati; Bacteroidota. The record is from RNAcentral.
CGCAGCUACCAUGCAGUCGAGGGGCAGCACGAGUAGCAAUACUUGGUGGCGACCGGCGCAAGGGUGCGUAACGCGUGAGCAACAUGCCCGUAUCAGGGGGAUAAUCCAGGGAAACUUGGUCUAAUACCCCAUAGUAAUUUCGUAAGGCAUCUUAUGGGAUUUAAAGCUUUGGUGGAUACGGAUUGGCUCGCGUGACAUUAGCUAGAUGGUAAGGUAACGGCUUACCAUGGCUAUGAUGUCUAGGGGUUCUGAGAGGAAGGUCCCCCACACUGGAACUGAGACACGGUCCAGACUCCUACGGGAGGCAGCAGUGAGGAAUAUUGGACAAUGGAUGGAAAUCUGAUCCAGCCAUGCCGCGUGAAGGAAGAAUGUCCUAUGGAUUGUAAACUUCUUUUGUAUGGGAGCAAUAAGGUCUUCGUGAAGACUGAUGAGAGUACCAUACGAAUAAGCAUCGGCUAACUCCGUGCCAGCAGCCGCGGUAAUACGGAGGAUGCGAGCGUUAUCCGGAUUUAUUGGGUUUAAAGGGUGCGUAGGCUGUUAUAUAAGUCAGUGGUGAAAUAUUCGGGCUCAACCGGGAUACUGCCAUUGAUACUGUAUAGCUGGAAUAUGGUUGCUGUGGGUGGAAUGUGUGGUGUANC